CCUACGGGUGCCUGCAGUGGGGAAUAUUGCACAAUGGGCGCAAGCCUGAUGCAGCCAUGCCGCGUGUGUGAAGAAGGCCUUCGGGUUGUAAAGCACUUUCAGCGGGGAGGAAGGCGUUAAGGUUAAUAACCUUGGCGAUUGACGUUACCCGCAGAAGAAGCACCGGCUAACUCCGUGCCAGCAGCCGCGGUAAUACGGAGGGUGCAAGCGUUAAUCGGAAUUACUGGGCGUAAAGCGCACGCAGGCGGUCUGUCAAGUCGGAUGUGAAAUCCCCGGGCUCAACCUGGGAACUGCAUUCGAAACGGGCAGGCUAGAGUCUUGUAGAGGGGGGUAGAAUUCCAGGUGUAGCGGUGAAAUGCGUAGAGAUCUGGAGGAAUACCGGUGGCGAAGGCGGCCCCCUGACAAAGACUGACGCUCAGGUGCGAAAGCGUGGGGAGCAAACAGGAUUAGAUACCCUAGUAGUC
RNAcentral lists this ribosomal RNA (464 nucleotides) under uncultured Klebsiella sp. Its description in RNAcentral is "bacterial SSU rRNA". It matches the Rfam family "Bacterial small subunit ribosomal RNA", at positions 338 to 795 of the family's 1533-position model. Lineage: Bacteria; Pseudomonadati; Pseudomonadota; Gammaproteobacteria; Enterobacterales; Enterobacteriaceae. The record is from RNAcentral.